Molecule: ribosomal RNA, 385 nt
Filed under: uncultured eukaryote
Lineage: Eukaryota
Description: partial 18S ribosomal RNA
Rfam family: Eukaryotic small subunit ribosomal RNA
Source: RNAcentral
CAAUAGCGUAUAUUAAUGUUGUUGCAGUUAAAAAGCUCGUAGUUGGAUUCCUGACCUGGGGUAGCCGGUCCGCCUUGCAAAAGGUGCGCACUGAGCGGCCUCGGUCAUCCUUGAGAAGAGCGGUCCUGGCAUUCAGUUGUCGGGGUCGGGAUUCUCGACGUUUACUGUGAAAAAAUCAGAGUGUUCAACGCAGGCUUACGCCUUGAAUACAUUAGCAUGGAAUAAUGAGAUAGGACCUUGGCGGUCUAUUUUGUUGGUUUGCACGCCGAGGUAAUGAUUAAAAGGGACGGUUGGGGUUCUUCGUAUUCAAUUGUCAGAGGUGAAAUUCUUGGAUUUAUGGAAGACGAACUGCUGCGAAAGCGUCGAACAAGGACGUUCNCAUUAA